Molecule: long non-coding RNA, 361 nt
Filed under: Homo sapiens (human)
Lineage: Eukaryota; Metazoa; Chordata; Mammalia; Primates; Hominidae
Description: HSALNT0136441
Source: RNAcentral
GGCAGAAGGGACUUGCCUUGUCUCAGAUGAGACUUUGAACUGUGGACCUCUGAGUUAAUGCUGAAAUGAGGGGCAGAGAGAUGGCUUUUUCAGGAUGGCAGCAAGGAACAUUUCAUGGAGCACACAUUGGAUUUGAGCUUGCCCUUGAGGAUCUGGACGACAGAAAAAGGUCCCACCACUCAUCAGAGUCACAGAGCAAAGCUGCAUACCUGGGUGCCAGACGCCAGCCACUCUCCACCGGCACUGCGUUGGGGGUGAGCUUCUUAACAGGUGGUGCAAACAUGAAUGCUCUCCACCUGCGGGCCCCAGCUACACCUCAGAGCAAUCUCGGAGCCUUUAUAAAUAAAAAUGUCUCAAGUCC